UUCCUUUUCCUUUGUGGAUUAGGGUCGAUUCUUGAGUGUUUUCAGCAAUUAAAUCUGGGAAACCGUGUAAUGCUAUAGAUGCAUAUAGUAGGGUACUCUUCUCUGUUGAUUAUGUAUGAAUCUUAGUGAUUCUAUGAGGACAGUUCGGUUUUGGUGAUCUAUGUGAUCCAGAUUUUAAUUCCUUAGUGGAGUGAGGUGUAAAUUGUGCCUUAUUUUAAAGAUAAGUCUUGG
This 231-nucleotide long non-coding RNA is filed under the name Olea europaea (common olive). RNAcentral describes it as "long non-coding RNA (OEUR_LNC013347)". The record is from RNAcentral. Lineage: Eukaryota; Viridiplantae; Streptophyta; Magnoliopsida; Lamiales; Oleaceae.